AUACCUCAACCUCUACACUUUCUUGUAAAGCGUAGCUGCGUUGGAUGCUGAGCGCUGCUGUUUUACCACAGCUCGCUUCAAAUGUAUAAGCAAUCUUGGUACUAGCUCGGAUUGACUCGACGUGAUAAGAUCUUCGUCGAGGAUGCUUUAACUAGCAGCCGAUUCGUACUCAAGCCGCUCCCAAACCGAGUCGCCCUGGUGCGAUGCUCCUUUUACA
Molecule: unclassified non-coding RNA, 217 nt
Filed under: uncultured Septobasidiaceae
Lineage: Eukaryota; Fungi; Basidiomycota; Pucciniomycetes; Septobasidiales; Septobasidiaceae
Description: sequence contains ITS2
Source: RNAcentral